This 496-nucleotide ribosomal RNA is filed under the name uncultured bacterium. RNAcentral describes it as "partial 16S ribosomal RNA". It matches the Rfam family "Bacterial small subunit ribosomal RNA", at positions 28 to 506 of the family's 1533-position model. The record is from RNAcentral.
GAUGAACGCUGGCGGCGUGCCUAAUACAUGCAAGUCGAGCGAACAGAUGAGGAGCUUGCUCCUCUGACGUUAGCGGCGGACGGGUGAGUAACACGUGGAUAACCGGCCUAUAAGACUGGGGUCACUUCGGGAAACCUGAUCUAAUACCGGAUAAUAUAUUGAACCGCAUGGUUCAAUAGUGAAAGACGUUUUUGCUGUCACUUAUACGUGGAUCCGGGCCGCAUUAGCUAGUUGGUAAGGUAACGGCUUACCAAGGCAACGUUGCGUAGCCGACCUGGGAGGGGGACCGGCACCACUGAACCUGGGAACCGUCCCAGACCCCAAGGGGGGGCAGAGGGGGGAAUUUUUCCGAAAGGGGCGAAGGCCGGACGGAGCAACGCGGCUGGGGGGAGGAAGGCCUCCGGUUCUUAAACCCCUGUUAUUAGGGAAGAACAAAUGUGUAAGUAACCAUGCUGGUCUGGACGGUACCAAAGCAGAAAGCCACGGUGAACUACGG